UACGGGUGGAGCAAGCGUUGUUCGGAUUUACUGGGCGUAAAGCGCGCGCAGGCGGUCCUUUAAGUCUGAUGUGAAAGCCCACGGCUCAACCGUGGAGGGUCAUUGGAAACUGGGGGACUUGAGUGCAGGAGAGAAGAGUGGAAUUCCACGUGUAGCGGUGAAAUGCGUAGAGAUGUGGAGGAACACCAGUGGCGAAGGCGACUCUUUGGCCUGUAACUGACGCUGAGGCGCGAAAGCGUGGGGAGCAAACAGG
Molecule: ribosomal RNA, 253 nt
Filed under: uncultured bacterium
Lineage: Bacteria
Description: partial 16S ribosomal RNA
Rfam family: Bacterial small subunit ribosomal RNA
Source: RNAcentral